GCUUACGGCCAUUCCUCUCUGAGAACGCCCGAUCUCGUCUGAUCUCGGAAGCUAAGCAGAGUCGGGCCUGGUUAGUACUUGGAUAGGCGACUAACUGGGAAUACCAGGUGCUGUAAGCU
This is a ribosomal RNA of Tachysurus vachellii, 119 nucleotides long. The record is from RefSeq and is a predicted model, not a curated record. Lineage: Eukaryota; Metazoa; Chordata; Actinopteri; Siluriformes; Bagridae.